GUGUAGCUCAGAGGCAGAGCCCGUGUCUAACAUGUAUAAGACUCUGGGUUUGAUUCCCAGCAC
This 63-nucleotide transfer RNA is filed under the name Fukomys damarensis (Damara mole-rat). It matches the Rfam family "tRNA", at positions 5 to 66 of the family's 71-position model. From Rfam's summary of the family: Transfer RNA (tRNA) molecules are approximately 80 nucleotides in length. The record is from Rfam by way of RNAcentral. Lineage: Eukaryota; Metazoa; Chordata; Mammalia; Rodentia; Bathyergidae.